CGUUGAAGCACUGGUUCUCAUCCGAUCACUGAAGUUAAGCAAUAUCAAGCCUGGUCAGUACCGAGAUGGGUGUCUUUUUGGGAAUACCAAGUGAAUGU
Molecule: non-coding RNA, 98 nt
Organism: Acanthosepion pharaonis
Lineage: Eukaryota; Metazoa; Mollusca; Cephalopoda; Sepiida; Sepiidae
Source: the annotation of a GenBank genome assembly